CAGUAGCCUGUCUGCACACCACUCUUCUGUGGAACAGCGCUGGCUUUCCACAGACACCCACAGACUUUGAGGAAGUAAUCUGACUGAUAAGAAACACUCAUCUCUGUUCCACGAGAAAAACUACGGCCCAGGUUUCUCAUUACAAAGUCCUGCGCGUGUGUUGGCGGAGCCGCGUUGUUUCCGCAAGUGACAGCAGAACGGACCUGGGGGUGGCGGUGGAUGUGCUGCUUUCUUUCUGCGGCUGAAAGAAUCACCUUGAGAUGGAUCUGACACCGGAGAGUAAUGGGUAGGCGUUGCUGCCGAACAUCUCCACUGGAAAUCACCCAGAGAGCAGUGUGACAGUGGCAUGCUGCGUGUGAAUGGGGGACAGACGGACAGAGUCUGCUUAACGCGCCUCCGAGAUGAGCCCCUAGCCACCCUCCAGACUGCAGGCACCAAACUGGCUUGGCACAGACACCCAACAUGGGAGGAACUCGGCGAAAAAGUUAGAGCCGUUCACAAGAACUGCCAGGAAGAUGCCUGUCAGCACAGGCGCAGUUUGUGCUGGGGACGCUGGGGACAUGUCCAUACCACUUACAGUGUUAGUGUUUCCUUUACAAGCUGACUUUGCUUCACUUAUUCAGUGAUAAUUCGAGCAAUAAUAUGCUUCAUCAUGUUCCCAAUGAUGUUUGUGCUUAUAUUGUGCCACACAAUGCCAAGAUAAUAAACACUGCAACACUGACGUUUCAUGAAACAAAACAAAUGAU
Long non-coding RNA from Electrophorus electricus (electric eel), 746 nucleotides. RefSeq lists it as uncharacterized. The record is from RefSeq and is a predicted model, not a curated record. Lineage: Eukaryota; Metazoa; Chordata; Actinopteri; Gymnotiformes; Gymnotidae.